AGUAACACGUGGGCAAUCUGCCCUGCACUCUGGGACAAGCCCUGGAAACGGGGUCUAAUACCGGAUACUGACCUUCACAGGCAUCUGUGAUGGUCGAAAGCUCCGGCGGUGCAGGAUGAGCCCGCGGCCUAUCAGCUUGUUGGUGAGGUAGUGGCUCACCAAGGCGACGACGGGUAGCCGGCCUGAGAGGGCGACCGGCCACACUGGGACUGAGACACGGCCCAGACUCCUACGGGAGGCAGCAGUGGGGAAUAUUGCACAAUGGGCGAAAGCCUGAUGCAGCGACGCCGCGUGAGGGAUGACGGCCUUCGGGUUGUAAACCUCUUUCAGCAGGGAAGAAGCGAAAGUGACGGUACCUGCAGAAGAAGCGCCGGCUAACUACGUGCCAGCAGCCGCGGUAAUACGUAGGGCGCGAGCGUUGUCCGGAAUUAUUGGGCGUAAAGAGCUCGUAGGCGGCUUGUCACGUCGGUUGUGAAAGCCCGGGGCUUAACCCCGGGUCUGCAGUCGAUACGGGCAGGCUAGAGUUCGGUAGGGGAGAUCGGAAUUCCUGGUGUAGCGGUGAAAUGCGCAGAUAUCAGGAGGAACACCGGUGGCGAAGGCGGAUCUCUGGGCCGAUACUGACGCUGAGGAGCGAAAGCGUGGGGAGCGAACAGGAUUAGAUACCCUGGUAGUCCACGCCGUAAACGGUGGGCACUAGGUGUGGGCAACAUUCCACGUUGUCC
This 722-nucleotide ribosomal RNA is filed under the name Streptomyces sp. R1O59. RNAcentral describes it as "bacterial SSU rRNA". It matches the Rfam family "Bacterial small subunit ribosomal RNA", at positions 109 to 842 of the family's 1533-position model. The record is from RNAcentral. Lineage: Bacteria; Bacillati; Actinomycetota; Actinomycetes; Kitasatosporales; Streptomycetaceae.